Molecule: ribosomal RNA, 1482 nt
Filed under: Triticum aestivum (bread wheat)
Lineage: Eukaryota; Viridiplantae; Streptophyta; Magnoliopsida; Poales; Poaceae
Description: partial small subunit ribosomal RNA
Rfam family: tRNA (bases 897-969)
Source: RNAcentral
GGAUAGGAUGGUUUGCAUCGCACUCCUUUGGGCGUUCCUCCUGUUCCAUAUGUAGCACUGUCGGCGUGCGUCCCCUCCAUGAUCGAAAUAUUGCAGGCGUGGGCUCGAGCCUCGUGCUCUGUCCCAGCCACUCAGGCAAUUGGCAAAGCCUCCUCUCCCGCCCCGUCCGCGGCACCUCAAUUGGCAAGACCUGGAGCCCGGCGGCCGCGGACAGGCAAAAUCUUGGCGUAGGUCGUACGGAGGAUCGGAGCUUGCUUGGCGUCGUCAUGGAGGAUCCAUCCAACUCGAUCUGGGCGGGAACUGCCAGUGCCAGACAUUGGAGGAACCAUCCAACCACCAUGCCCGAUGGAUCCGCAGCAGAAAGUCCGCAUCCCCGAAGAGAUCUCGUGAAUCCGGGGUAUGGUUUUCAUGGAAGACGAUUCGAGUAAGAGCAAACACCACUGCUCAUCCCGCUAUGUCAACCAUGGUGAACGAGGUCAGGAGCAACCCGACCCGAGAUCGAGAGAUCUUGUGUGCGGGCUACCGAUGCCCGUGGUCAGAGCAGGUUCGAGCCAUGUGAGCUCACUGUCCGUGCCAUCGUUUAGUUGCUGGAAGUUGCUGAUGUUUGUGUUUGAACUAAGGUUCGAAACAUGUGAGGUCCUGUUUGAACUAAAUCUCUUCAUGCUUGCGGAUGUUCGUGUAACUUUGGUGCUCUGCAAGUUGCUGGAAGCCUGGAAGGAUGCAGAACCGACUUUACAUUUUAUGACUGCCCUUCAUAUAAUUUCCGUUGCAUGAACCAUUGCCAUGCCUGGAAUGCUUUUUUUCUUUGUUAGUGCUGCAUUUUUAUGAUCUAACUGUUCCAUUCUGCUGUAGUUACUCUGUGUUUAAAAACUUUGAACGUCGAAACACCAUGUCGAGCCCGUCUAGCUCAGUUGGUAGAGCGCAAGGCUCUUAACCUUGUGGUCGUGGGUUCGAGCCCCACGGUGGGCGAUACACACCAUUUUAUUUUUUCUGUAUCAUCUUCUGAAUUUCAGAUAUAUUUGGUGUAUUCCUUCAGUCCCGAGUUAUUUACUUUCCCUUCUUUGGAUAACUACAAACAUUUCAGCCUGAAGUUUCUACUCAACUACUCCUUUCAUUUCUAAAUAUAUAUCUUUUUAAAUAUUAUGGACUACACACGGAUGUAUUUUAGAGUGUGGAUUCACUCAUUUUGCUUCGUAUGUAGUUUAUAUUGGAAUCUCUAAAAGGACUUGUAUUAAGGAACGGAGGGAGUAUAUUUAUCGAGCUGAGGAGCAACCUGACCGGAGAUCGACAGAUUUGUGUGCUAACUGCUAAGGCUUGCCCAAGGUUGAGCUAUGAGCUCGCUUCCUUUUGAAGAGUCCAGGGCUCCAGGCUUGUACCAUGGUUUGGUUUCAGAUAUAUUUGGUGUAUUCCUUCAGUCCCGAGUUAUUUACUUUCCCUUCUUUGGAUAACUACAAACAUUUCAGCCUGAAGUUUCUACUCAAC